CAGCAGUGGGGAAUCUUGCACAAUGGGCGAAAGCCUGAUGCAGCGACGCCGCGUGGGGGAUGAAGCUUUUCGGAGUGUAAACCCCUUUCGACCCGGACGAAUGCCUCGCAAGAGGACUGACGGUACGGGUAUAAGAAGCCCCGGCUAACUACGUGCCAGCAGCCGCGGUAAGACGUAGGGGGCCAGCGUUGCUCGGAAUUACUGGGUGUAA
Molecule: ribosomal RNA, 211 nt
Filed under: uncultured bacterium
Lineage: Bacteria
Description: partial 16S ribosomal RNA
Rfam family: Bacterial small subunit ribosomal RNA
Source: RNAcentral